CUUUUCAUUUCUUCCGCGGAUCAAGUUGAUGGACAGCUAUGGUGGUUCUGAACAAAUUUGAUUGCUACGAUAAUAUAUUGACAUUGACUAGUGUAAGCAGCUCCCAUAGAUAUAGACAAAUUAUAAAAGUUCUUCAAUCCAUGACCUAAGACUUAUGGAAGCUCCCAAAGAUAUAGAUGACCCAAGCUCUGAUACCAACUUCUAAUUUAUCUCUAAGUCCAUGGAAGCAAAUCUUUAUGAAAUCCAACAUUAUCGUUUCCUAUCUUGCUAAUUUUAUCUCAACAAUUUAAACAUAACUUGCAAAUUGCAAGUGAAGAAAAUUCUUUGAAUUGAGAGAUUAAUAGAAAAUUACUAAAGGGCGGACUUUAGCGCAAUAGUAAAAUUGCUCCAUUUGUGAUAUGAAUAUUAUAGAUUUGAAACAUGAAAGCAGCUUUUCUAUAAGGAUAAAACUCAUCGACGGUUCGGAAUAUGGAAAUAAGCUUUAUGACCUUUCUGUAGACAGGUUUUUCAUAUCAAG
This 517-nucleotide long non-coding RNA is filed under the name Phoenix dactylifera (date palm). RNAcentral's name for it is "long non-coding RNA (PDAC_LNC022715)". The record is from RNAcentral. Lineage: Eukaryota; Viridiplantae; Streptophyta; Magnoliopsida; Arecales; Arecaceae.